UACGUAGGGGGCAAGCGUUGUCCGGAUUCAUUGGGCGUAAAGAGCGUGUAGGCGGCCAGGUAGGUCGGUUGUGAAAACUGGAGGCUCAACCUUCAGAGGUCGACCGAAACCAUCUGGCUAGAGUCCGGGAGAGGAGAGUGGAAUUCCCGGUGUAGCGGUGAAAUGCGCAGAUAUCGGGAGGAACACCAGUGGCGAAGGCGGCACUCUGGGCCAGUACUGACACUGAGGAGCGAAAGCGUGGGGAGCGAACAGG
This 253-nucleotide ribosomal RNA is filed under the name uncultured bacterium. Its description in RNAcentral is "partial 16S ribosomal RNA". It matches the Rfam family "Bacterial small subunit ribosomal RNA", at positions 524 to 776 of the family's 1533-position model. The record is from RNAcentral.